RNAcentral lists this ribosomal RNA (503 nucleotides) under uncultured Glomus. RNAcentral describes it as "SSU rRNA". It matches the Rfam family "Eukaryotic small subunit ribosomal RNA", at positions 569 to 1073 of the family's 1831-position model. Lineage: Eukaryota; Fungi; Glomeromycota; Glomeromycetes; Glomerales; Glomeraceae. The record is from RNAcentral.
AGCAGCCGCGGUAAUUCCAGCUCCAAUAGCGUAUAUUAAAGUUGUUGCAGUUAAAAAGCUCGUAGUUGAAUUUCGGGAUCAAAUUGUCGGUCGUGCCUCGGUACGUACUGGCGUUAUUGGUUCCUCCCUUCUGAAGAACCGCGAUGUCAUUAAUUUGGUGUCGCGGGGAAUCAGGACUGUUACUUUGAAAAAAUUAGAGUGUUUAAAGCAGGCUCGCGCUUGAAUACAUUAGCAUGGAAUAAUGAAAUAGGACGUUUGAUUCUAUUUUGUUGGUUUCUAGGAUCGACGUAAUGAUUAAUAGGGAUAGUUGGGGGCAUUAGUAUUCAAUUGUCAGAGGUGAAAUUCUUGGAUUUAUUGAAGACUAACUACUGCGAAAGCAUUUUUGCCAAGGAUGUUUUCAUUAAUCAAGAACGAAAGUUAAGGGGAUCGAAGACGAUCAGAUACCGUCGUAGUCUUAACCAUAAACUAUGCCGAACUAGGAAUCAGACGAUGUUAAUUUUUAA